RNAcentral lists this unclassified non-coding RNA (249 nucleotides) under Hevea brasiliensis (rubber tree). Lineage: Eukaryota; Viridiplantae; Streptophyta; Magnoliopsida; Malpighiales; Euphorbiaceae. The record is from RNAcentral.
CCGCCGCCAGGUUGCAGUUGAUGUCGAUCAGCGACUUCAGCUUUUCUGGCUGUGGAUUGAGCUGCAGUUCCGCGGUCUGCGUCAGGACGAACGUGCCGAUGUUGGCGAUGUUCUGACGAACCUCGAUGGUUUGCGGAUUUUCGUCGCUGGUCACCGCGCUCAGAAGGAUCGCCCAGAGCUUGCGGUUGAAAAGCAGUGCUUCGGCGAAAUUCGUAUCGGGAUGAUCCCAGUUCGUCAUCGCAUGCUGAA